This 250-nucleotide ribosomal RNA is filed under the name uncultured bacterium. Its description in RNAcentral is "partial 16S ribosomal RNA". It matches the Rfam family "Bacterial small subunit ribosomal RNA", at positions 28 to 268 of the family's 1533-position model. The record is from RNAcentral.
GACGAACGCUGGCAGCGUGCAUAACACAUGCAAGUGGAGCGACGGAACGAUCCUUCGGGGUCGCAAGCCGAGCCGCGAACGGGUGAGUAUCACGUGGGCAAUCUGCCCUGUUGAACGGGAUAGCCCGGGGAAACCCGGAUUAAUACCGUAUGAGCUCUGAGGCCAAAAGGCUUGAGAGGAAAGGAAGCUUCGGCCUCCGCGACAGGAUGAGCCCGCGGCCUAUUAGCUGGUUGGUGGGGUAAUGGCCUAC